This is a non-coding RNA of Oryza barthii, 203 nucleotides long. The record is from Rfam. NCBI's taxonomy places the organism in Eukaryota, Viridiplantae, Streptophyta, Magnoliopsida, Poales, Poaceae.
AAUAAGUGUAUCCAUAAGUUUCCGCGCCCAAUUUUGAUCGUUCGUUUUAUUUGAAAUUUUUUUAUAAUUAGCAUUUUUGUUAUUAUAAGAUGAUAAAACAUGAAAUCCUUUACUCGUGACUUAUGUUUUUAAUUUUUUUAAAAAAAUUUUCAAACAAGACGAAUGGUCAAAGUUAGGCGCUGAAAACUAUGGCUGCACUUAUU